GACGAACGCUGGCGGCGUGCUUAACACAUGCCAGUCGAACGGAAAGGCCCUGCUUUUGUGGGGUGCUCGAGUGGCGAACGGGUGAGUAACACGUGAGUAACCUGCCCUUGACUUUGGGAUAACUUCAGGAAACUGGGGCUAAUACCGGAUAGGAGCUCCUGCUGCAUGGUGGGGGUUGGAAAGUUUCGGCGGUUGGGGAUGGACUCGCGGCUUAUCAGCUUGUUGGUGGGGUAGUGGCUUACCAAGGCUUUGACGGGUAGCCGGCCUGAGAGGGUGACCGGCCACCAUGGGGACGAGGAACGGCCCAGACCCCUAACGGAGGCAACAGUUGGGAAUAUUGCCAAAAGGGCCGGAGGCGGGUGCAGCAACGCCCGGUGCGGGAUGACGGCCUUCGGGGUUGAAACCCGUUUCGGCUUUGGCGAAACGUGAGUGAACGGAAUGGGUAAAGAAGCCCCGGCUAACUACGUG
Molecule: ribosomal RNA, 468 nt
Filed under: uncultured bacterium
Lineage: Bacteria
Description: partial 16S ribosomal RNA
Rfam family: Bacterial small subunit ribosomal RNA
Source: RNAcentral